This 375-nucleotide unclassified non-coding RNA is filed under the name uncultured bacterium. RNAcentral describes it as "contains 16S-23S intergenic spacer region". The record is from RNAcentral.
UCCGGUUUGUCACCGGCAGUCUCGCAUGAGUCCCCAACUAAAUGCUGGCAACAUGCGACGGGGGUUGCGCUCGUUGCGGGACUUAACCCAACAUCUCACGGCACGAGCUGACGACGGCCAUGCAGCACCUUGCUCCUUGUCCUUGCGGAACGGUCCAUCUCUGAACCCAUCAAGGGCAUUCUAGUCCAGGUAAGGUUCCUCGCGUAUCAUCGAAUUAAACCACAUAAUCCACCGCUUGUGCGGGUCCCCGUCAAUUCCUUUGAGUUUCAGCCUUGCGGCCGUACUCCCCAGGCGGGGCACUUAAUGCGUUAGCGCCGGCCCUCGGGGGGUCGCUCCCCCAAGCGCCUAGUGCCCAUCGUUUACGGCGUGGACUAC